Magnolia sinica is the source of this 422-nucleotide long non-coding RNA. RefSeq lists it as uncharacterized. The record is from RefSeq and is a predicted model, not a curated record. The transcript is spliced from 3 exons. Lineage: Eukaryota; Viridiplantae; Streptophyta; Magnoliopsida; Magnoliales; Magnoliaceae.
GUCACAUCUGAUGAGUUCACUAAUUCAGAUUCUGAUUCUGAAGAGGAGAUUCCCGUUCUCGUAAGGGAAAAUGGAAAGCCUGUGGUCAAGGAUGAGCAGGCCAUGCUUGCUACUGAGAAGGUUAAGGCUACCACUAAACUUGAAUCCUCGACUGCUAAGCCCAAGGUUCAAAUAGCGGAACCUAGUAAGGGUAAGGAAGAAGAUGAAGAUGAUCAUGAAGAUGAAUCAUCAGAAGAUGAAUCUGAUGAUGAUGAGGUACUUUUUAUUCUCUCAAGGAGUAUUAUCAUUUUUGGCUAGGAAAAUAAAAUUUCUCACCCCUCGUUGUGUUAAUUAAAUUUUCUUCCUUUUCCUUUUAGUUGAAGGCAGUUUCAAAUUAUCAGUUUAAUGCUAAUUUGAAAGUCUUUAUUUAUUUAUUUUUGUGA